GUAGGUUUAGUGCAGGAAUCUGCAUCUCGGCUGAAAGCCUCAGAACCCAGAGUCCAGCUUACCUGAGCAUCCUGAAAAGAACUCCCAUUACUUCCCACUGUCGAGACUUUAGAAGAAACUCUGUGGCAAGCUUGUGAGCAGUUAAUUAAUACAGCCUCCAACUUUUAGAUGAAAAAAAAAACUGAAACAAAGAAGCUUUGAAUAACUUUCCCAAGGUAACUCAACCAGUAGGUGACCAAGAAAGAUUUAAGUUCAAACUCUGACUUCCCUGGAGCUUCUGUUCUGGCUCUGGGGAAAUGAAGAGGAAGACAAUAACUGGAUAAGGCUCGACAUCUAUCAUGACUUGACGGCAUGAGCCAGGAAGCCUGUUAUUAGAUGGAAAAAAAAAAACAGGCUUAAUCGCUUGGAAUACAGAAUGUAAAAUGGGAUUUCCCUGGUGUAGAGAAAAGGACAAUAGGAAGAAGUUGGUUUGAGAAGUAGAAAGUAAAAAUCUGAAUUAUCAAAAGAAGAAAUUUAGAAAGGAAGAUGUCCUUGGACUCGAGGCUCUGACUUGGAUUUUCCACCUGUGAGUCAUUCAACUUGUUCCAAAGGCAAGACGUGUUUUUUUUUUUAGCAAUAGUUUUGAGUUGAGAUUUUUUGUAAUGAAUUCCAAAUGAAAACCCUUGUCCUCUUCGUGGGACAAUCUCUUGGUUUAAUGCCAAAGAUUUACUGUUUGAUGGAGAAAAUGUUGUCAAAAUACGGUUCCCAUUCCAUAGUCAUCAGAAAACACAUGGGAGGGAUAUAUACACUUCCUG
This 794-nucleotide long non-coding RNA is filed under the name Homo sapiens (human). RNAcentral describes it as "HSALNT0388655". The record is from RNAcentral. Lineage: Eukaryota; Metazoa; Chordata; Mammalia; Primates; Hominidae.